UGGGGGAUCGUCUAACGGUAGGACAGCGGACUCUGACUCCGUUAAUCUAGGUUCGAAUCCUAGUCCCCCAGCCA
RNAcentral lists this transfer RNA (74 nucleotides) under Lysobacteraceae bacterium. RNAcentral describes it as "tRNA-Gln". It matches the Rfam family "tRNA". Rfam says of the family: Transfer RNA (tRNA) molecules are approximately 80 nucleotides in length. Their secondary structure includes four short double-helical elements and three loops (D, anti-codon, and T loops). Lineage: Bacteria; Pseudomonadati; Pseudomonadota; Gammaproteobacteria; Lysobacterales; Lysobacteraceae. The record is from RNAcentral.